AUUCAGCGGACGAGUCCUAAAUAGAACGAAACGUACGUCAAACUGAAU
This 48-nucleotide non-coding RNA is filed under the name Schistosoma margrebowiei. Lineage: Eukaryota; Metazoa; Platyhelminthes; Trematoda; Strigeidida; Schistosomatidae. The record is from RNAcentral.